Adlercreutzia equolifaciens DSM 19450 is the source of this 114-nucleotide non-coding RNA. The record is from Rfam. NCBI's taxonomy places the organism in Bacteria, Bacillati, Actinomycetota, Coriobacteriia, Eggerthellales, Eggerthellaceae.
UAGCAUCUUCAGGGCAGGGUGAGAUUCCCGACCGGCGGUAAAGUCCGCGAGCCUUAGGGCUGACUCGGUGAAAUUCCGAGACCGACAGUACAGUCUGGAUGGAAGAAGAUCUUC